GAGGGUAUAGCUCAGUUGGUAGAGUGCUUGCCUUGCAUGCACAUAGGCCCUGGGUUCAGUCCCCAGCACACACA
RNAcentral lists this transfer RNA (74 nucleotides) under Ictidomys tridecemlineatus (thirteen-lined ground squirrel). Its description in RNAcentral is "Spermophilus tridecemlineatus (thirteen-lined ground squirrel) tRNA". It matches the Rfam family "tRNA". Rfam says of the family: Transfer RNA (tRNA) molecules are approximately 80 nucleotides in length. Their secondary structure includes four short double-helical elements and three loops (D, anti-codon, and T loops). The record is from Rfam by way of RNAcentral. Lineage: Eukaryota; Metazoa; Chordata; Mammalia; Rodentia; Sciuridae.